This 365-nucleotide ribosomal RNA is filed under the name uncultured microorganism. RNAcentral's name for it is "bacterial SSU rRNA". It matches the Rfam family "Bacterial small subunit ribosomal RNA", at positions 9 to 369 of the family's 1533-position model. The record is from RNAcentral.
GAGUUUGAUCGUGGCUCAGAUUGAACGCUGGCGGCAUGCCUUACACAUGCAAGUCGAACGGCAGCAUGAUCUAGCUUGCUAGAUUGAUGGCGAGUGGCGAACGGGUGAGUAAUACAUCGGAACGUGCCCUGUAGUGGGGGAUAACUAGUCGAAAGAUUAGCUAAUACCGCAUACGACCUGAGGGUGAAAGUGGGGGACCGCAAGGCCUCAUGCUAUAGGAGCGGCCGAUGUCUGAUUAGCUAGUUGGUGGGUAAAGGCCCACCAAGGCGACGAUCAGUAGCUGGUCUGAGAGGACGAUCAGCCACACUGGGACGUGAGACACGGCCCAGACUCCUACGGGAGGCGAGCAGUGGGGAAUUUUGGAC